RNAcentral lists this ribosomal RNA (1353 nucleotides) under Triticum aestivum (bread wheat). Its description in RNAcentral is "partial small subunit ribosomal RNA". Lineage: Eukaryota; Viridiplantae; Streptophyta; Magnoliopsida; Poales; Poaceae. The record is from RNAcentral.
AUGCUUUGCUUGUUUGGUUGUGUUUGCUAUGUUCUUCUUGCCCCUCGCGAACGCACCAAACUGACCGCUCAGUUUGUUGAGUGUGUCUUCUUAGGCUACAGUGAUGAGCAUAAGGGCUAUCAUUGUUGGGAUCCUAUCGUUCGUCGGAUGCGUAUCUCUCGAGACAUGACUUUUGAUGAGUCUCGUCCCUUCUAUCCACGCCCAUCUUCCUCGACCUUUUCAGUGGAGGAUAUCUCUUUCCUCACUUUUCCUGACUCACCUAUCACCCCCGUCGAGCCUGUGCCUAUUCGUUCCGCUCCCUCUGCUUCUCCACCUCUAGUCGAUUUGCUGCCACCAUCUUCCACGGUCUCCUCGUCUAGCAUGUCACCGGAUUUUACACCUUCAUCUCUGGUGACUUCUUUGUCGCCACCCCUCGAUUCUACCUUGGCGAUUCCUCCUUCUAUUGUUCCAUCUUUUCCUCAGUAUUACACUCGUCAUUCACGUCCUGUGGAUGCCUCCGUGGAUGUGUCGUCCUCUUCCUCUCAGCCUACUUACGACUUGCGUUCUCGUCCUCGUCCGCCUGUUGAUCGCUUUGGAUUUCCCACCACCGGUGCUGCUGUUCUUGAGCUGACUUCUUAUCGCCAGGCUGUUGUUCAUCCUGAAUGGCAGUUUGCGAUGGCAGAGGAGAUUGCUGCUCUUGAACGCACUGGUACCUGGGAUCUUGUUUCUCUUCCUCCCGGAGUCCGUCCCAUCACUUGUAAGUGGGUCUACAAGGUUAAGACUCGCUCUGAUGGUUCUCUUGAGUGUCACAAAGCUCGUCUUAUGGCUCGUGGUUUUCAGCAGGAGCAUGGUCGUGAUUAUGACGAGACUUUUGCUCCUGUGGCCCAUAUGACCACUGUUCGUACACUUCUUGUCAUUGCCUCUGCACGCCACUGGUCUAUAUCUCAGCUUGAUGUUAAGAAUGCUUUUCUUAAUGGUGAGCUGCAUGAGGAGGUGUACAUGCAGCCACCACCUGGGUAUUCUGUUCCUGAUGGCAUGGUAUGUCGUCUUCGUCGCUCUCUCUAUGGCCUUAAGCAAGCCCCCCGUGCCUGGUUUGAGCGUUUUGCCUCUAUGGUCACUGCUGCUGGUUUUUCAGCAAGUGCUCAUGAUCCAGCAUUGUUUAUUCACCUUUCUCCUCGUUGUCGGACUCUUCUUCUUCUCUAUGUUGAUGACAUGGUCAUCACUGGGGAUGACCCCGAGUAUAUUGCCUUUGUAAAGGCCCGUCUUAGUGAGCAGUUUCUUAUGUCUGAUCUUGGACCUCUUCGCUACUUUCUUGGGAUUGAAGUCUCUUCUACAUCUGAUGGCUUUUUUAUAUCCCAGGAAAAGUAUAUCUAG